UGCAGGCACGAGAUGACAUCCUGAAUGGUUCCCACCCAGUAUCUUUUGACAAAGCCUGUGAGUUUGGAGGCAUCCAGGCCCAGAUCCAGUUYGGACCUCACAUAGAGCACAAACACAAGCCUGGAUUCUUAGAUCUGAAAGAGUUCUUGCCCAAAGAGUACAUAAAGCAACGAGGAGCUGAGAAGAAAAUAUUUCAGG
Poecilia reticulata (guppy) is the source of this 198-nucleotide non-coding RNA. The record is from RefSeq and is a predicted model, not a curated record. Lineage: Eukaryota; Metazoa; Chordata; Actinopteri; Cyprinodontiformes; Poeciliidae.